AUGUCCCCAAGCGCUCUGCUGGCUCCAAGGGACACUGGGGACACUUCACAGGUGUCCCCAUGUCCCUCCUGUGUCCCCAUGUCCCUCCUGCAUCCCUCAGGUACAUUGGGGACCUUUGGGGACACAGAUCCAAGAUGUCCCCAAGACCCUCCUGUGUCCCUAAGGGACAUUUGGAACCCUUGGGGACACGGAUCUGGAGCGUCCCCACGUCCCUCCUUUGUCCCCAUGUCCCUCGUGGGCACUGGGGACUCCUUGGGGACACAGAUCCAGGUGUCCCCAAGACCCUUUUCUGUCCCCAAGGGACACUGGGGACAGAGAUCUGCAUGUCCCCAUGUCCCUUCCCCCUCCCUCGGGAACACUGGGGACACAGAUCCAGGUGUCCCCAUGUCCCCAUGGACCCAUGGGGACACAGAUCCAGGUGUCCCCAUGUCCCUCCUGUGUCCCCAUGUCUCUCCCAUGUUCCUCAAGGACACCGGGACCCCUUGGGGACACAGAUCCAGAUGUCCCCAAGAUGCUCGUUGUCCCCAUGUCACUCCCAUGUCCCUCAGGGGCACUGGGGACACUUGGGAACACUUGGGGACAUGGAUCCAAGAUGUCCCCAAGACCCUCCUUUGUUCCCGCAUUCUCUGGGGACACAAGGGACACCUUGGGGACACAGAUCGAGGUAUCCCCUUGUCCUCUGGGGACACAGAUGCAGAUGUCCUCAUGUCCCUUGGGGACAUGGAUUCAGGUGUCCCCAUGUCCCUCCUGGUGUCCCCAUGUCCCCUGGGGACAUGGACUGAGGUGUCCCAAUGUCCCUCCUGGUGUCCUCCUGUCCCUCCCGUGUCCCUGUGUCACCUGGGGACAUGUAUCCAGGUGUCCCCUUUUCCCUUCUGUGUCCCCAUGUCCUUAAGGGACAUGGGGGACCCCUUGGGGUCAUGGAUGCAGGUGUCUCCUUGUCCCUCCUGGUGUCACCAUGUCCUUCCUGGUGUCCCCAUGUCUCUUGUGGACACUGGGGACCCCCUGGGGACAUCACCCCCGGUGUCCCCAUGUCCCUCCUGGUGUCCCCAUGUCCCUUAG
RNAcentral lists this long non-coding RNA (1059 nucleotides) under Chloebia gouldiae (Gouldian finch). RNAcentral describes it as "Erythrura gouldiae (Gouldian finch) lncRNA (ENSEGOG00005017988.1)". Lineage: Eukaryota; Metazoa; Chordata; Aves; Passeriformes; Passeridae. The record is from RNAcentral.